RNAcentral lists this ribosomal RNA (254 nucleotides) under uncultured bacterium. RNAcentral's name for it is "partial 16S ribosomal RNA". It matches the Rfam family "Bacterial small subunit ribosomal RNA", at positions 524 to 776 of the family's 1533-position model. The record is from RNAcentral.
UACGUAGGGUGCAAGCGUUGUCCGGAAUUAUUGGGCGUAAAGAGCUCGUAGGCGGUCUGUCACGUCGGCUGUGAAAACCCGAGGCUCAACCUCGGGCCUGCAGUCGAUACGGGCAAACUAGAGUACUGCAGGGGGAGACUGGAAUUCCUGGUGUAGCGGUGGAAUGCGCAGAUAUCAGGAGGAACACCGAUGGCGAAGGCAGAUCUCUGGGCCGUAACUGACGCUGAGGAGCGAAAGCAUGGGGAGCGAACAGG